RNAcentral lists this long non-coding RNA (2589 nucleotides) under Equus caballus (horse). RNAcentral's name for it is "lncRNA (ENSECAG00000046842.1)". The record is from RNAcentral. Lineage: Eukaryota; Metazoa; Chordata; Mammalia; Perissodactyla; Equidae.
AUGCAUUUAAUAAAUAUUUACCGAGCAUUUAUUAUGUAUCAAGAGUAUGCUCACUUCUGAAAAUACAGUCGAGAAAAAGGAGAGGCAAGAUCUUAGUCUUCACAGAGCUUUCAUUCAAGAGGGUGAAAUAGACUUGUAACAAGUAAAACACAUUAACAUAAUUACGGACUCGAGAUCUCGUCAAGACGGCGGUGUGAGCAGACAUUGAACUCGUCUCCUCCCAGGAACGCAACCAGAUUACGACUAUUUUUGGAAAAAUUACCCCAGAUUGAAAACUGAAAACUGGAUAAAAAGAAGCCCCACAACAAGGGACAGUCCUGACGAAGGCAGAGGAGGCAGUAAUUCCGGCCGGAGAGGACAAAAGCCACCUUUGGGAGCAGCGGAGCUUCUCGGCUGGCCAGGCGGGAGCCACCCUAAGGCUCCUUCUUUCCAGUGUUACCUUUGUUCUCUGAACACACUUCAUGCUUACAAACCUCUCUAGGAACUUAGGAGUCAGAGAGAGCUGAGGAGAAGAGAGUGCCAGGAGAAGAGAAUCGAAGAGGCAUUGCACGUGCUGGAUGUGAAAGAAAGGAACUCAGAGAAGAGUAAGUGACUGAUUCCGCCACCACCGAAAAUUUCUACAGUGUUGUAAGAAGACUUUAAUAAUUCAAAUGCCACUCUUUGAGAGAAGUGACAGUAUGCAUAUAAACAUAGCACGGUAAACGUUUAGAGUCUAAAUUAAACUCCGGCUGAGAGGUUUUUCCCAACAGAUUUUAAAUUCACAGAGAGAUGCUGAACGAUUGGCCUGAACUGACUGGUCUCUUGGCGAGGCUGAAAGCAAGAUGCCCUCUGGCUGCUCUCUCUCCCUCAGAUGCUGCCGAGCGUCUGCUGUGGCCUUUGGCAAAAGUAAGGAUUGUGCCUUGAAAACACCAUUUUGCCUGAGAUAAUUGUCUAAGGGUUGGGGACUGUUUACCUCCUAAAUUUCCAGGAUGGAGCCUUUGCACAUGUGUUGUAUUACUUUGUUAGAUUUUUAUAAAAAGUGAGGCAUGUGAGUGAGUGGUGUUGAGUGAAUUCAGCUGCCAGUAUCCUGAAGCUAUCACAAUGAGUUUAGUUUCCUUAAUUUAUAUUCUCCGAGAACAUCAUCCGUUUUGUACAGGAUUUCAAACACGCAUGCGGAAAGUGGCUUCUAACCUUGUCUUUGAGUCAUUUCCUGCUAAUAAUUUCUCUUUCUGUGCUCCUCUUAUUGUUUCUUUUCUUUCUUUCCCCUUGACUCGUUUACCUAAUGGCCUAUCUAUCAAUAGUUUGUUCAAAGAAUUACUUCUUGGAAUCAUUUUCAUUAAUUUAUAUUUUAACUUUGUUAUCAGAACUUCCUCUCUGGUAUUGCGUUCGUUUACUUAUUUUUUGCCAGCAUCUUGAAUUGGAUGCUUAUUAAUUUUUAUUCUUUCCUUUUUUUUAAAUGUAAGCAUUUAAGGCUAUGAAUCUUCCUCUCAACACAACUUUACCUUUAUCACAUAGUUUCUAACACAAGUUAGUUUUGUUGUUAUUAUUUUCUAGAUGGCUGAUAGUUUAUUUUUUAUUUCCAUUUUGACUCAACAGUUGUUUUUUUUUUUUUUAAAUCGUGUGGUAUGUUUUUCUUUUCUGGUUUUGUUAUUAAUUUCUAGCUUUUUUAUUUUGUGAUCAAAACUAAGUUGCCUUUGCUAUUUUUACUUUUCAAAAUUUAUUGAGUUCUUUUUGCCCAUUAAGUGGACAAAUUUUGUUAAUGUUCUGUGGAUAUGUAAAAAAGUAAGAAUAGUCUCUCCUUUCAUGAUAUAAGCGUUGAAUGCACAGUGAUUACAUGCUACUUUAUUAAUUACAUUCUUUAGGAUGCCUAUAUUUUUUCUUAUUAUUUGUAUACUUGCUAUAUCAAGAGUGAGAGAGGUAAAUUAAUAUUCCUUAUUACUAAUGUAUUUGGCUAGUUCUCCUUGUAUAUCCUAUGCUUUUAAUUUUGUUAAUAUUAGUGCUAUGUUAUUUGACCAUAACUGAAAUUCUGCCUUGUAGAUUGUAUACAUUGUCUUACAGGGCAUGCUUCCUUGUAUAGUUUAUGUUUUUUUAUGUGUGUGGUUCAAAAAAAGAUGAUUAUGGCAUCUGUUUUCUUUUUCACUUGCCUUAUAUAUAUUUGUCCAUCUUUUUAUUUUUACUUUUCCCAUUUGUUUUAGGGGUCUCCAUGGCCAAACUAAUAGGUAGAUUUAGCUAACUAAUAUAAAAGACAUGUUAGGUGUUUUGUAUUUUAUCAUAUUACUGUAAUUUUUUGGUUUUUAUAUUUUUGUUUUUGAAACUUGCAAUAUGGUUUGAAUUUAUUUUGCUGCUUUCUUGUUUUGUGUAAUUUAUAAUCAAUUUGCAAUUAUUGUGAUUUUUUUCCUGAUGGUUACAUUUCUAACUGUAAAUUUAUGUAAUGCCCUUAAUUCUCUAUUUCUUAAUGGAGAGUCUAUUGCCUAGUUACUGUCACUAAUGAUAAAAUAAUUAUAUUUCUAUGUUUUCCCGUCUUAGAUCUUUCCUUUCCAUAUGUGAUCUUCUUUAAUAAUAAUGCUUAGUCUUUACAUUUAUUGCUUUCAUUGUUUUCAGACUUCAAGU